This 484-nucleotide ribosomal RNA is filed under the name uncultured eukaryote. RNAcentral's name for it is "SSU rRNA". It matches the Rfam family "Eukaryotic small subunit ribosomal RNA", at positions 333 to 905 of the family's 1831-position model. The record is from RNAcentral.
GUAUUGGACUACCAUGGCAGUCACGGGUAACGGAGAAUUAGGGUUCGAUUCCGGAGAAGGAGCCUGAGAAACGGCUACUACAUCUAAGGAAGGCAGCAGGCGCGUAAAUUACCCAAUCCUAAAUCAGGGAGGUAGUGACAAGAUAUAACAACGCGAUUAAAUGUCGCGAUUGUAGUGAGGGUAUUCUAAAAAUAGCUUCGAGUACGAUUGGAGGGCAAGUCUGGUGCCAGCAGCCGCGGUAAUUCCAGCUCCAAUAGCGUAUAUUAAAGUUGCUGCAGUUAAAAAGCUCGUAGUUGAACUUCAUGAGCAGUAGGUAGCUUACUACCUGCUCUCUACCAGUCUUUCGACUGUUACUGUGAGAAAUUAGAGUGUUUCAAGCAGGCUAUUGCAGGAAUACAUUAGCAUGGAAUAACGAAUGUACCUACUAAUUGUUAAUUGUAGAUUACUAUUAAUAGGACAGUUGGGGCGAUUAGUAUUAAUUGUC